GGUCCCGUAGCUCAGCAGGAUAGAGCGGUCGCCUCCUAAGCGACAGGCCGUGGGUUCGAAUCCCGCCGGGAUCACCA
This 77-nucleotide transfer RNA is filed under the name Bacillota bacterium. RNAcentral describes it as "tRNA-Arg(cct)". It matches the Rfam family "tRNA". From Rfam's summary of the family: Transfer RNA (tRNA) molecules are approximately 80 nucleotides in length. RNAcentral also lists the same sequence under 7 other names. Lineage: Bacteria; Bacillati; Bacillota. The record is from RNAcentral.